CUUUCAGUCCACUUCGCCCUCUUUGCUGAUGGCAACAAUAAGAAAACAGUCCGCGUCCCUCCCCCUGUAAAGGGAUUUCUUCUUGAUAGAGCUGAGAGUCUGGAGUCGCUCGCCGAAGCCAAUUCACAACCUCCAUCUGUCCUCGGUCUCAAAGGGAAAACCUGCAGGUGGAGAAGCGGCACAAAGCGUCUGCAUGUUUGGGGCCGUGGAUUUCUGUCUUUUAGACUCCAUUGGACGUCACAAUGGUGGUGCAAGUGCGGACAAAUAUCCCUGUGACCUCUCUUUCCUCCGAACCCCCCACCGGAGCAGAGCGGUGCGGCACACGGGCUUCUUCCUGCUGGAAGGUGAUUGAGCGUGCGCUCCCCGCUCCGGCUCUGUCCUGCUUUGUCUGGGCGACGUGUGCCUGUGUCAGGAACCACAAUUAGUGGGGCGCGUCCCCGGCCAUUAAUCACAGAACUGUCCCGGAUCCCUGCCACUGACCGACGCCCACUUCACCCACACACACACUCAAUGACGUCCUGCUCGUGUCGGUGACAUCAUCACGCAUGGUAAUGUAAAAUUGGCACCAUUGGCGUCUCUCAUUGUCUCUCAUUGUCUCUCUGUUCUUCACAGGUUUUUCUCCUUCUGUAUUUCUGUGACCUCUGGUGGUAUCUGAUGUAUCUGAGGUGGUUCUGUCUGAUCUGUCACGCCAAAGAGGAUCAGACUCUUGGAUCGUAGUUUACGCGUGACAUAAACUUCGGCGUUAGUCCAUGCGAAUGUCAAACCAGUCACAACAUUUAACACGGCACCAGGUCACUAGAUUGUGUUUGUUUCCCGAACAACUCCAGUUUUAACGCUGGCAGGAAAUGGUUAGCCAGAGAUACGUUUGCUACCCGGUUCCAACGAGUUUCCUGAGUUUUGAGUUUGGACGCAAAUGGAACGCAGCGUAAAACUGGCGUCAUUUAGCAAUUAAAGGCCCCAGACCCAACGCCCGUCGCGCGCUCUUGGUGCUGUUUGCUGAUUUUGGCGUGAGUGUGUUGGGUGCGCGCGGACCGCGCAUGUGCGAAGUGAACUUCCACCCCUACCAGUAGGUGGAGUAUUAAGCCGCGCUCACCAAGCAGAAAAAAGAAUAAGUCGUCGCCAAGGAUAAUCAUCCGAGCCUCCACCUGGCGUAGCAUCAUCCGGUGACGUGGGAUACUACAGCAUGCUGACGCGUGAGUAGACCUUGUCCCCGCCCACCUCGGUGCUGCUGCGUACAA
Molecule: long non-coding RNA, 1238 nt
Organism: Solea senegalensis (Senegalese sole)
Lineage: Eukaryota; Metazoa; Chordata; Actinopteri; Pleuronectiformes; Soleidae
Exons: 3
Source: RefSeq, a predicted model, not a curated record